RNAcentral lists this ribosomal RNA (483 nucleotides) under uncultured bacterium. RNAcentral's name for it is "bacterial SSU rRNA". It matches the Rfam family "Bacterial small subunit ribosomal RNA", at positions 29 to 524 of the family's 1533-position model. The record is from RNAcentral.
AACAAACGCUGGCGGCGUGCCUAAUACAUGCAAGUCGAACGGGGAAAGUUCUUCGGAAUGAGUACUAGUGGCGUACGGGUGAGCAACACGUGGAUAAUCUUCCUUCAGGUGGGGAAUAACGAGUCGAAAGAUUCGCUAAUACCGCAUAAGUCCACAGUAACUUUGGUUACAGGGGUUAAAGACUUCGGUCGCCUUUAGAUGAGUCUGCGUCCGAUUAGCUAGUUGGUGAGGUAAUGGCUCACCAAGGCGACGAUCGGUAACUGGUCUGAGAGGACGGCCAGUCACACUGGGACUGAGACACGGCCCAGACUCCUACGGGAGGCAGCAGUAGGGAAUUUUGCACAAUGGAGGAAACUCUGAUGCAGCGACGCCGCGUGAGUGAUGAAGGCCUUCGGGUCGUAAAGCCCUGUCUCAGGGAAUAAAAAAUAGAAGGUACCUGAGGAGAAAGGACCGGCGUAACUUCGUGCCAGCAGCCGCGGUAAU